This 89-nucleotide non-coding RNA is filed under the name Streptomyces sp. Root264. Its description in RNAcentral is "Streptomyces RNA 3202". It matches the Rfam family "Streptomyces RNA 3202". From Rfam's summary of the family: Identified by deep sequencing of transcriptome at the end of exponential growth phase. Appears smaller on northern blot than sequencing transcript. The record is from Rfam by way of RNAcentral. Lineage: Bacteria; Bacillati; Actinomycetota; Actinomycetes; Kitasatosporales; Streptomycetaceae.
CCAAGUCCCGACGCACAUCCCCCGGUGCCGGGACUGUCCAGAGCCGGGCUUCGGCGCCUCUCCCCCCAGGCGCCGGGCCCGGCUCCUUU